Molecule: long non-coding RNA, 907 nt
Filed under: Gossypium raimondii (Peruvian cotton)
Lineage: Eukaryota; Viridiplantae; Streptophyta; Magnoliopsida; Malvales; Malvaceae
Description: long non-coding RNA (GRAI_LNC010566)
Source: RNAcentral
ACCUUCCAAAAACCUCUCACUUGAUGCUUGUGACAGUCCUCCAAAUCCAGUUCGCAUUAAAUUUGAAACCCCCUUUUCCUUGUACCACAUUUCUGUACUAGCAGUUUUUUUUAAACUUCCACAUCAAUAUAACUAGAUGAAAAACUCAUCAAUUGCACCACAUACUCAUCCCUCCACCCCAACGACAAACCUUAAGCUCCCACAUCUAUUUCGUUAACAAAUCCACACUUAAGAAAAACACGUUCUAUCUUCAUUUUACUCAAUUUUGUCUCAAUUAGAAAUAAAAUCUGGGGCUACUCAUGCUUCACCUUGUUCCUGAGACGAUGGACUGCCACGAACGUUUCAACUUAAAAUUUUCAUUGCUUCCGACCGAAUUGCUAACCAGCAAUCACCGAUAUCUCAUUAGUCUCAUUCAAAGAACCAAUAAAACUAGAAUCAGUUGCUUUCCCUCCCAAGAUUCGCUGUCGCUUCUUCCCACCACAUUGCUAAAUAGGGCUAUCCUCAGAGCUAGAUAUCAUUUGCCUCUGUCUCUAAUCCCCUUGUUCAGUCACAACUCCCUGUUUACCCUCAUUACACCUAUCCACAUCCAUGCCAUGUAGAAUACCACCCCCUUGCAGACCAAUUGAAACUUCCUUCCUGAGCUACCUACUUCCCACCAAAACCUCUCUUCGCGACUAUUCCCUUAACGAUGCAUCCCAACCGAACUCAACAUCCUGAACUCCUAUUGUCAUUUUUAUCGGGCAAAAACCCUCACCAUGGCCUAACUUUCGGCACAAAGUAGCGUUAAUCUCUCAUACUGAAAAUAGGCAUAUCCCUUCCUAUUUAGUCCUAAAGCCAAUUUCUUCUUCUGCUUCAAAAAAUUCUCACAUCAAUUUUAACUCUAAUUUGUAUAUACCUCUUUAUCCCC